AUGACCCAAAUAUUUCCACCAAGACAAUCUUGUUCAACAGGCCCCAAAUACAACUUCCCUUCCUUGGUUUCCUCAUAACCGUAAUCAGGCUGUAACUUCAAGGUGUGGCUUCAUGAAUGGGUGACUUUUCUAAAUCAGCAAUUUUGAAAAUGUGGCAUGGACUCUUGACUGCUCACAAUGCAAACAAUGAGAAAACUCAACUGAUCAUAACAAUCUGAAGGUUCAGCAUCCUAUCCAGUGGUCAUGGUGAUGUUGCCACAAUGGUGCCUAGUGCUGAUGGCCCCAUUAUCAAUAAUUGAAUGUGAAACUGAGCCAUGAAGAAAUUACAUUUCUUGAACAAGGUCACAUAGCUGCCUCUUGACCACUUGUACACUGAACUAUUGCAACAGGUUCCGAUUGAGACUACCAGCCAGAAGCCUGUUAGUGCCGUAAUGAAAGCAAUUUGUAUCAACUAAGUCACAAUGAAGAAACAAGAGGGAAAAGGUUAAUCCUGCCAAAUGGGUGUCUUAUUGGAUUAAAUGAAAACUGCAGCUCACUCUUUCCCCAGAA
Molecule: long non-coding RNA, 549 nt
Organism: Myotis myotis
Lineage: Eukaryota; Metazoa; Chordata; Mammalia; Chiroptera; Vespertilionidae
Exons: 4
Source: RefSeq, a predicted model, not a curated record